ACGGUCGCGUAACACGUAAGCAACCUGCCCUGAAGUUGGGGAUAGCCCUCCGAAAGGAGGAUUAAUACCGAAUGUGAAUACAUCUUCGCAUGUUGAUGUAUUUAAAGCAGCAAUGCGCUUCAGGAUGGGCUUGCGGCCUAUCAGCUAGUUGGUGGGGUAAUGGCCUACCAAGGCGACGACGGGUAGCUGGUCUGAGAGGAUGGUCAGCCGGACUGGGACUGAGAUACGGCCCAGACUCCUACGGGGGGCAGCAAUUAGGAAUCUUGCGCAAUGGGCGAAAGCCUGACGCAGCGACGUCGCGUGACCGAUGAAGUCUUUCGGGAUGUAAAGGUCUUUUUUGGGGGAAGAAGGAUGUGACGGUACCCCAAGAAUAAGCCCCGGCUAACUACGUGCCAGCAGCCGCGGUAAUACGUAGGGGGCGAGCGUUGUCCGAAUUCACUGGGCGUAAAGCGCGCGUAGGCGGGUUAUUAAGUUGGAGGUGAAAUCCCGGGGCUCAACCCCGGAACUGCCCCCAAAACUGGUAGCCUUGAGGUAUGGAGAGGGAAGUGGAAUUCCAGGU
This 559-nucleotide ribosomal RNA is filed under the name uncultured bacterium. RNAcentral describes it as "bacterial SSU rRNA". It matches the Rfam family "Bacterial small subunit ribosomal RNA", at positions 102 to 674 of the family's 1533-position model. The record is from RNAcentral.